This is a long non-coding RNA of Talpa occidentalis (Iberian mole), 1839 nucleotides long. RefSeq lists it as uncharacterized. NCBI's taxonomy places the organism in Eukaryota, Metazoa, Chordata, Mammalia, Eulipotyphla, Talpidae. The record is from RefSeq and is a predicted model, not a curated record. The transcript is spliced from 7 exons.
ACAAGAGUAUCCAUGACCUUCCUGAAACAGUCGCUCUCUUCUGUGUUUGUUAGCCACUGAUAUUAUCAGCAUCCCCCGAGGGAACAGAAAUAUUUCCUUAAGCAUGAAGCAACCUACUGCCAUGUCCCUGAGGAAUGUGGCAAAACAGCUUCCAAGGCAGGGUGAGGUCUUCCUUCUUGGUUCAGUAUUCUUCUCCAUCUAAUCCUAUGUCCCAUUAGGUUUGCAAUAAAGGAGAAAUUGUGCAAAAAGAACAAAAAUCGAAUUCUGAUGCGAAAGAUACAAGGCCAAAUGACUCUGAUGAUUGUAUAUUUGAUUUUUUCAGAACACAGUUCCCUACUCAAACUUUGAGGUUACAUAGCAGUUGUUUGAAGAUAUGGGAAGACCAGAGAAGUUUUCUCAAAAAAGUGAAAAUGCCUAGACAGACUCCUUCUUGGCUUUUGAAAAGAUAUUUGAGCUCCCGCUGUGCGAAUCAGAGGCUUAACAAAGACCAACAAAGACAAUUAUCAGGAACCAGUGAGAAGCCACGCCAGGAUAUAAAUCAGCCCAAGAGCAGUGAUUUGUAUGGAAACUGUUUCAAAGUGACAGCCUUAAAGUGCCCUGUGCGCAAACAAAAUCCCAGUUGGAAUGAGAAGAAAAAGAUACCAACAGAAGAUUCACAUCAGGACUUGAAAAGCAAAAUGAAAGAAUGUGCAUCUUUCCAAAGUAAGAAGACUGAUGUAAAUUGGACAGAUGAUGAAAAAAGAAUCUACAGGGAUACAAAAAUAGCUCAAACGCAAGAAAUAUUGCAGUAUUUGUUCCCUAUCAUGGAAAGUACUAAAAAAGCACAAACGACUCAGAUAAAACAGAAACUGAAUCCAAAAAUCAACUUCCAAAACAAGUAUCGACAAAAGUCAGCUACUAAUACAAAUACAAAGAAAUACUGCACAUCUUGGACAAUGCCCAGAAAUCCCCCUUUUAUAGACCAAGGGAAUCUUAUAGUAAGUUCUACAGAAUGGCUCAAGUCUGAGUCCCAGAGGUCAUUUGAAAGUCUGGCACCUUUCAAAGAGCACAAGAAAAGGAAAACACACCCUCAAAUCAAGUCCAGAAAGACUAAGUGUAUGCAACCUUUUAUCAGCAAAUGGGAGGCUGAGCCUGUGGAUAUUGUCAAAGGCAAGAGUCUGCAAACCGAAGAAUCCAGGCAACAAAGCUCUCUGCAUAUAUCCCCCAUCUAACUACAAGUAAGGAUGGUAGACAACCCACUUUCCAUUUAAAGUUCCCAAAGGACAAAUAAUCUGGCUUUAUGCUGUUUUGAAAACUGUGAAUGAAAGAUAACAUAUGCUUAUGUAGUAAAAAGAACAAGAAAAGCACUUCCUGCCCCUCGGUCCCCAUCCCACAUACACGUAUGCAUAUGCUAAGCUGUAAACCCUAGAGACCCCAUCCUUAGAGGGGCCAUGUUUCACAGAUUUCAAAAGAAAUCCAGAGAAAAUUUAAAAACAUGUCGGUAUCAAUAUUUCAUUUUUGUCAGGACAAGAAAAAAAUCUAUGAACUUUUUAUUGCUUCCAAAAUGAUGGAUGUAUGCAGCGUAUACACACAAAACAUCCUAUGAACUCGAGGAAAGAGUGACAUGUACUGUCUCUUGAGUUUUACCUUUCUUCCUAGUAAACACUUGAAUAAUGAAUCAUUCAGCAAAUAUCAUUUCCUGAAUUUCUGUUACAUCUUUGGUGUGCUAGAAACCGUUGGUAAUAUAAAAGCUAUUUCUUCACUCGAGAUUGCUGUAUAAUUACACCUAUAAAAAUACCGUGACUAACAUAGCUACAGAGUACGAGUGCAUAGUAAAUGGCUAAGUUGUAGACCUCCCAC